RNAcentral lists this long non-coding RNA (458 nucleotides) under Elaeis guineensis (African oil palm). Its description in RNAcentral is "long non-coding RNA (EGUI_LNC000048)". Lineage: Eukaryota; Viridiplantae; Streptophyta; Magnoliopsida; Arecales; Arecaceae. The record is from RNAcentral.
UUCUUCUCCUCUUCUUCCAAACCCAUCCAUGAGCCUUCUUCCUCCAUGAUAACUCUCUCUACCUCCAUCCAUUCAUCAUCGAUGAUCCCUCAUUUCUCCUCCUCCUCUUUCUCCUCGCCUACUUCUCCUCCACAUCCUCCAUCAAGCCCACUUAUGAACCUUCUCUCUUCAUAGUGGCUUCCUCCACGUUUGCCCAUCUCACCAACAAACUCUCCAUCCUCUUUUUUCUCUCCCAUUUCUCUUCAUCCUCCUCCAAGUCUGCCCAUAUUCCUCUUCAUGGUGGCUCCUACUAUCUCCAUCUCUUCCUUACGGGGACCUCUCCUUCCUUCUCAUCAAUAUUUUUCUCUCAUUCUCUACCUCCUCCAAGUGCACUCAUGACCUCUCUUCUUCCUCCUUUUUCUCUUCACCCACUUCUUCUCUUCCUCCAAGUCCUCUCAUGACCCCUUCUCCGUAGUGGC